Populus trichocarpa (black cottonwood) is the source of this 108-nucleotide non-coding RNA. Lineage: Eukaryota; Viridiplantae; Streptophyta; Magnoliopsida; Malpighiales; Salicaceae. The record is from Rfam.
UAAUCUGUUUGGGGGUAAAUUCAUAUUUAGUUAUGGCAGAUUCACACUUGACUAUUCAAAAUCACUCACUACUAUAUGAACAAUAACUUUUGAGAUUUUAAUUGGCAU